Molecule: small RNA, 220 nt
Filed under: Arabidopsis thaliana (thale cress)
Lineage: Eukaryota; Viridiplantae; Streptophyta; Magnoliopsida; Brassicales; Brassicaceae
Description: ATSL209890
Source: RNAcentral
AUAACUAUUUGCAUAUUUGAUCCGUCAUAGUUGAUUUUGUAAAAUCUUUUAUUUGAGAAAGCAUUGCUAAGAUUUGUGUAAAGAGAAAUUGGAUUAAGCUUCAUGUUUACGUUCACGUUAAUGUCGUAAAUAUACAGACACAAUAUCUUGCCGAAAAAUAAAUUAAAAAAGUCAAAGAAAAAUAAAAAUCUAACAUAAGUAUAUAUGCAAACAACAAAAC